This 453-nucleotide long non-coding RNA is filed under the name Linum usitatissimum (flax). RNAcentral's name for it is "long non-coding RNA (LUSI_LNC006945)". Lineage: Eukaryota; Viridiplantae; Streptophyta; Magnoliopsida; Malpighiales; Linaceae. The record is from RNAcentral.
UCAAAAUUAUCAAUUUAUAGAUAAAGUGAAUUACAUAAUUACCCUUUCGUAAAUUUGAAAGGACAAAAUUUAACAAUAUAAAAAGUUCAAUCAUCAAGAACUCAAUCACUCUCAAACUUGAAAUUCAGAAGUCCAACAAGAAAGCGAAAAAUCGAACGACUAUCCGAAGAAAAAAGUGAAGAUUUGGAAAAUUGCAUUCGAAUUGUAAAAUCGUCCAGACGGACAACUUCCGUAGGACUAAACAACCGGACAGACGGAGUUUCCAUCCACCAUAGCUGGUCAGAGGGAAAGUUUGUCCAUCCGGCUAGCUACGGCGGACGGAAAGUCUAACUGAAUUUAAAACAUAAAGAACGAAUAUUACCAGAGGGAGAUGAACAGAUGGUUGUCAACAACGCCUUGAACCAAUCAAGCUCAUGUUGCAAAGAUGUAUUCGUGUGCGCGUUAUGAAUCCCU